CUUCCAACCAACCAAAUCAUGCCA
RNAcentral lists this non-coding RNA (24 nucleotides) under Arabidopsis thaliana (thale cress). The record is from RNAcentral. Lineage: Eukaryota; Viridiplantae; Streptophyta; Magnoliopsida; Brassicales; Brassicaceae.